CAGCAGCCGCGGUAAUACGUAGGUGGCAAGCGUUGUCCGGAAUUAUUGGGCGUAAAGGGUGCGUAGGCGGUUUGGCAAGUCUUAUGUGAAAUCUUCGGGCUCAACCCGAAGUCUGCAUGAGAAACUGCCGGGCUUGAGUAUGGGAGAGGUGAGUGGAAUUUCCGGUGUAGCGGUGAAAUGCGUAGAUAUCGGAAGGAACACCUGUGGCGAAAGCGGCUCACUGGACCAUAACUGACGCUGAGGCACGAAAGCUAGGGGAGUAAACAGGAUUAGAUACCCGGGUAGUCCCUGUCUCUUAUAC
This 301-nucleotide ribosomal RNA is filed under the name uncultured bacterium. RNAcentral's name for it is "partial 16S ribosomal RNA". It matches the Rfam family "Bacterial small subunit ribosomal RNA", at positions 509 to 807 of the family's 1533-position model. The record is from RNAcentral.